GCCGCCGUAGCAUAAAGGUUAAUGCGCCGUCUUCCUAAGCUGUCCAAGGCGGAGGUUGUGGGUUCGAUCCCCACCGGUGGUU
Mycena sp. CBHHK59/15 is the source of this 82-nucleotide non-coding RNA. The record is from the annotation of a GenBank genome assembly. Lineage: Eukaryota; Fungi; Basidiomycota; Agaricomycetes; Agaricales; Mycenaceae.